This 262-nucleotide ribosomal RNA is filed under the name uncultured bacterium. RNAcentral describes it as "partial 16S ribosomal RNA". It matches the Rfam family "Bacterial small subunit ribosomal RNA", at positions 74 to 334 of the family's 1533-position model. The record is from RNAcentral.
CGGGACCCGGGCCGGGCCGACCGGGGUACGGGAGGUAACGAACCGUAUCCAACCCUGCCGAUAGACUCGGGGAUAGCCUUUCGAAAGAAAGAUUAAUAUCCGAUAGCAUAUCAAUCCCGCAUGAGAUUGAUAUUAAAGAAUUUCGGUUAUCGAUGGGGAUGCGUUCCAUUAGUUUGUUGGCGGGGUAACGGCCCACCAAGACUACGAUGGAUAGGGGUUCUGAGAGGAAGGUCCCCCACAUUGGAACUGAGACACGGUCCAA